UGUUUCCUCACCUCCCCCCCCCCAACCUCGCAAUCCGGGCUCGGCCGCGGCUCCCGGGGCGGUUGCCAUGGAAACGGCGGGGAGCAAGCAACGCGCGGCGCGCGAGGCGCUUCAUCACGGCCAGGUGGGCCGAAGCUGCGCAGGGCCCCUGCUUUACCUGGCUCUGAGUUCGAAUCCUGAUCACGUCCUUGGCAAGUUCAGCUGAUUAUAAAAUAAACGUUUUAUGUGUUAACGUUA
Crotalus tigris (Tiger rattlesnake) is the source of this 237-nucleotide long non-coding RNA. RefSeq lists it as uncharacterized. The record is from RefSeq and is a predicted model, not a curated record. Lineage: Eukaryota; Metazoa; Chordata; Lepidosauria; Squamata; Viperidae. The transcript is spliced from 2 exons.